UGUUGAGUCUUUGCUUGUUAAGUCAGUUUAUGUUGAGUUUUGUAAGUUUUCUAGCCAAGACAUUAGAGAAGUUAGUUGUCAAGCAUGCUGUCACGUAUUGAUUGAGUGUGAUAAAAAUUGAAGUUUGAAACUUGAAAAUUGAGAAUUUGUAAUCAAAAUGGUGUGUUGUUGUUAAAAGAUAUUGGGAAUGACGAAUUGAAGGGCAAUAAGUGAACACAAACCACACAUAAGUGAGAAUUUGAGCUGAAUAGAGUAGAACACUUUCUACUAAAUUUUGUUUUGAGAGAUCUUGAUGCCCAUGACGUUGUGAUAUUGUGUGUGUCAUUUAUGGCGAAUGAUAAGAGGCACUAGGGUAACCACUUGGCUUGCUCUUGAUUUCCUACCCUACAUUAACCCUAGUUAGCCACUUUUGAGCCUUGACCAUUCUUGUUCAUUCUAGUCACUAUAUAAUUAGCCAAGGCCGUUUUUAACUUUCUCUUUGGCCCUAUUAUGCAUGCUUGAACUUGAGUCACAUCCUAGAAACGUUUAAUGGAGUUGGCAUAAGGAUGUUUGUUUGCCCAAACGGAUCCUGAACUGAAUAGGAUUUUGAACUAUACGAUGGAUGGUCUGUUUGGCCAAACAAAUGGGGUAGAUAGGCAGAUUGGUUGAAACUUUUGAAGAAUCUUUGCAUGAUUGUAAUGUUUUAAGGAAGUGGUGCACGAAUAAUAAAAAUAAAAAAAAAAGAAGUCUAAAAAAGAGAGAAAAAUCAAAAAAAAAAAAAAAAAAAGAAGGAAAAAUCAGAAAAAGAGAAGAGAGUUGCACUAGUUGUGAAUUAAUACGCAUGCAAUGUGCUUUGAGAUUGUUGCCUGCCAGAUGUGGAGUUUGCCGUUGGAUCUCAUAUGCUUAGAAUUCUUGGUUGUGAUUUGAUUAUGCUUUGAGAUUGUUGCCUGCCAGAUGUGGAGUUUGCCGUUGGAUCUCAUAUGCUUAGAAUUCUUGGUUGUGAUUUGAUUAGAGCAUGCAUGAUGUGAUAUAAAUUGUUGAGCUUAGGACCCCUAGGAUCUUGCCACAUUUAUGAAAAGUCCUUAAGCCCCAUUAUAACCAAAUGAGAAAGACCUUUUUGAGCUAUGUUGUGACCACUCAAUAUCAUGACUGAUUGGGAAUGUUUUUUGUGUGUGAAGUACCUCAUUUAUGGAGUGAGUGAGCUAUGAGAGUUACUAUCACUGUUGCCCGAUUUGGACUUGAUUGAUAAUGACAACACAUUGUGGAAAUUCAUGUUCUUAAUUCAAGAGUUGAGAAGUGAUUUUGAAUUGCACGAUACGGUCUGACAGUUUGUUGCGAUUUCUAUUGCUUUGAUAUUGCUUGGCUAGUGUGUUUAGUUGUUUGGUUUGUCGUGUCUUGUCUCGUUUCUUUUUACUUUCCCUUUCUUUGCGUGUGUCGUUGUGUCUGUUUUCCGUUCUUUCGUUUCUAGAGUCUUCGUGUCAAGGAAAGGAGUUGCUUCUAGGGGCUGAAUUUCACCAUUAAUUCUUCUCUUAUUUCAUACUUGAGGACAAGUAUGAUCUAAGUGUGAGGGGAUUUGAUGUGUGUAUUUUAGCUACCUAAUUUAGUGUGCGUUUUGCCGUGGUUUCAUGUGAUAUUACAUGUUUUGCUAUGUUUUGGCACAGGAAUUGGAAGAAGUAGAGAUGGAGCUGCUGAUUGGAAGAAAUUGGAGAAAGACGAGCUGUCGAUGGAUAUUUGAUGUGAAGAU
This 1723-nucleotide long non-coding RNA is filed under the name Salvia miltiorrhiza (redroot sage). RNAcentral's name for it is "long non-coding RNA (SMIL_LNC010211)". Lineage: Eukaryota; Viridiplantae; Streptophyta; Magnoliopsida; Lamiales; Lamiaceae. The record is from RNAcentral.